Long non-coding RNA from Cygnus olor (mute swan), 760 nucleotides. RefSeq lists it as uncharacterized. NCBI's taxonomy places the organism in Eukaryota, Metazoa, Chordata, Aves, Anseriformes, Anatidae. The transcript is spliced from 2 exons. The record is from RefSeq and is a predicted model, not a curated record.
GCAGCUGUGACUUUGGGGUGCCAGCUGUGAGGUUGGGGUGGCAGCUGUGACGUUGGGGUGCCAGCAGCAGGUUGGGGUGCCAGCAGUGACGUUGGGGUGCCAGCAGUGACUUUGGGGUGCCAGCUGUGACACUGGGGUGCCAGCACUGACGUUGGGGUGCCAGCAGCAGCGCUCCGGGGAGGUGAGGGUGAGCCCGUGACUCACCUCGUCUCUGGCCCGGCUUGGCUUGUUUAAAGGGCUUUCCUUAUCCUUCCCACGAAGGAAGCUCAGGUGCUCUUUUCUCCUGCGACGGCCGCUCGCCCACCAGUGCCUGCGCUUCUGUUCUGCGGCAGGCUCUCCAGGCAGGCUCAGAGAGCCGCAGAGCGCCAGCCCGAGCUCCCUCCCUCCCUCCCUCCCUCUCGGGCAGGUGCGGCGUAGCCUCGCUCGGAGGCUCGCGUGCUGCCUGCGCUUUAUGGCUGUGAAAUCGCCGGGGCCGUGCGAUGGAGGGAGCCGGGUUCCCCCUUUCUGUUGGGAGGAGGUGGAAGAUCUUCUCGAGCAGAGUCCCGACGUCCUCGUGCCUUGCCUUGUCGCAGGUUUGCACGCUGGGAAAGGCCCCGGAGCUGUCUGCUGGGCUCUGUUGUGUCGUGGGCCCUGCUAGGGAGUUCCUUACGCGUAGAGCUUGCACCUGACUUCUGUUGACACUUGGAAAGGAUUUUAGAUACAGACUGGAUUAAUUAUUGCUACCACAUACGAUGAACAUUAAACUGCUUCUUUGACAUCC